This 494-nucleotide ribosomal RNA is filed under the name uncultured bacterium. RNAcentral's name for it is "bacterial SSU rRNA". It matches the Rfam family "Bacterial small subunit ribosomal RNA", at positions 26 to 518 of the family's 1533-position model. The record is from RNAcentral.
AGGACGAACGCUGGCGGCGUGCCUAACACAUGCAAGUCGAACGGAACUCUUUGGAACAAGGCUUCGGCCGAGGGAAUUUGAGUUAGUGGCGGACGGGUGAGUAACGCGUGAGCAACCUGCCCUUCGGAGGGGGACAACAGUUGGAAACGACUGCUAAUACCGCAUGACAUACAUUGGUUGCAUGAUCGAUGUAUCAAAGAUUUUAUCGCCGAGGGAUGGGCUCGCGUCUGAUUAGCUAGUUGGUAGGGUAACGGCUUACCAAGGCGACGAUCAGUAGCCGGACUGAGAGGUUGAACGGCCACAUUGGGACUGAGAUACGGCCCAGACUCCUACGGGAGGCAGCAGUGGGGAAUAUUGGGCAAUGGGGGCAAACCCCCUGACCCAGCAACGCCGCGUGAAGGAAGAAGGCUUUCGGGUUGUAAACUUCUUUUAUCAGGGACGAUAAUGACGGUACCUGAUGAAUAAGCCACGGCUAACUACGUGCCAGCCGCGGC